Bos taurus (domestic cattle) is the source of this 1546-nucleotide long non-coding RNA. The record is from Ensembl. Lineage: Eukaryota; Metazoa; Chordata; Mammalia; Artiodactyla; Bovidae.
AUACAAAUGGGUUUCUGACAGACUCAAGCAGGUAAAACAGCACCGAGGCUCCGCAAAAGCGCGGUCACACCUGCCGGGAUGGCACCAUUUGAAAAUGCUCCAUGAAUUCAAGACAGGUCAAAGACUGAUGAACAAUCACGAGGCAGCUUCACUGAGAAAACUUCGGUUAUUGUCACGAUGCAGGUGAUAUAUUGCUUUCAUGUUAAAAACACUAGUUUUAAAAAGGUAGCCUGGUGGUUCAGAUGGUAAAGAAUCCGCCUGCAUUGUGGAAGACCUGGGUUUGAUCCCUGGGUUGGGAAGAUCCCCUGGAGGAGGAAAUGAUGACCCACUCCAGUAUUCUUGUCUGGAGAAUUCUGUGAACAGAGGAACCUGGCGGGCUACAGUCCCUGGGGUUGCAGAGUUGGACAUGACUGAGUGACUAAGCACAGGGAUAAAAUAUUUUCCUCUGUCUACUUUAACAUGUAUACUUCCGCCUUACUUACACAGAAUUUAGCUCAAUAUAGGACAUCUUUGGGCCCAAUAUACCAGUUUCAUUUCUGAGAAGAACUAACGUGGCCCUCAUGGAGGAAUCCUAAGACAGUUUUACCAAAGACUUGGUCUGAGUAGGGACCACCAUCCAGAAGUUCACUGUGUGGGAAACAAAUAAAGAGCUGGUAAAAUCAUCAAAUUUGGUAAAAUAUGGAGUUAUGCAGAUUUGACCAGCUGUUGUUUAAGAUCCAAUGGUUGGGCUAUAAUUUGGGCAGAAAACUUCCUUCUGAGAAUUAUACUUUGUCUGAUUAGACUUCGUGCUGAUCCUGUAAAUCAUAACCAGACACCAGCUUAUCUGCCCCCAUGUUAAAGACAGAGAGUGAACUGUAUGUCUUGUUAAAAUGCUCCCCUAAAUUUGAAGGCAGGGACUGUUUAAGAAUGUUUUGAAGUUUCUAUUCAUUAGGCUUGCAUGUGGAGGAAUAAAAUAUGCUUCGUCUGGCCAUAUUUCUGUUAAAGCUACUACAGGUUUAUGGGAGUGCUAAAAUGGUGCGGCAAACAUGGAAAUUAGUGACACCGUCUCAUAAGAUUCUUUAUGUAUCGCUCUUAUUUUCAGGAAACAUAUGAUGGUUAUUUGGUACUUUCAGAUAAGUAGGUUUGUUUUUCAAAAUUUGAAUUCCUGUCAAAUCCACAGACAAUCCAUCAGUCCACUUUUCCACAGUGCCUUUCAGAGACAAACACCGUUAAGCACUUCAGAAAUAUCAGAUUAACAUUAAUACCCAAUGGAUUAGAAACCAGACAAAAGUGGGCUUAGGCAAACACUGCAAGUGGAGUUUGAAGGUAGGUGUACAUCAUAUCAGUUUCCUGCGGGGCUCAGCUCUCAGAAACUUGAGGGCAAGAGGCUCAUUUAAAAAUAUUUGCCAUUUUGAUGAGCCUUGGGGCACUGAAAGCACUGCAGACAAAUCAUAUAGCUCACUCAGGACGGCCACUGAGAGCAGCUCAGAUCCCGUAUUUCAAAUAGAAAAUUUCUUCUUUUCUUUCCUUUAUCUUUCUCAACUCAACUUCCUUUCUUUCUCCUGCU